RNAcentral lists this small nuclear RNA (101 nucleotides) under Cervus hanglu yarkandensis (Yarkand deer). Lineage: Eukaryota; Metazoa; Chordata; Mammalia; Artiodactyla; Cervidae. The record is from RNAcentral.
UUUUGGUAGCACAUAUAUUAAAAAACUGGAAUAAUACUGAGAAGAUUAGCAUGGCCCCUGCCCAAGGAUGACACACAAUUUUGUGAACCUUCCAUAUUUCU